CUUUUCACCUGUACCUACUCAAGCAAUCACAAGCCAUGACUGUGGUGUCACUGGUGUCUUAUUAGUUAAUGAUCUCGUUAUCUAAUCAAGAGGGAGUGAUCGCUGUGCAUGGCAGCCAAUCACCACAAGCAGUGGGAGGGAUGAAAAGCUGAGAGGUUUUAAAUACCUGGAUUUUGGGCAUUGUCAUUUUUUCUCAGGUGAGCCUGCAGCCAAGACAUAUCCAGCCAAAGCCAGUUCCACUCAGGCUUUGGGGGCAGGCUGCUUUGAUCUUGUGCUUAGGGGCCACCUGCUUUGGAAUCUCACAGCCAUAGAUCUAAAAUGACAUCAGCUGCCUUGUUAGAUUUACACAGGUGACCAGUUUCAUUCUCCCAGGGAUGAUUACCCUUAGAAGAAGGCUGAGACGCAUCCUUUUGACAGUACUCACUCUGGGCAAAUUGUCAAGGACAACCCUUUUGGCAGCGCUUUCUCUAGGCAGAAGAUCAAGAUCCAUCCUCUCUGCACUCCUUUUUGUUUGCAGGAAGUCCAGGCCAGUCCUGUUCACAGUGCACCGCCUCUGCAAAAGGUCAAGACUUAGCCUACCUGUGGCGAUUGCUCUCUGCAGGACAGCUAAAUGGAUCCUAGGAGCUCUGCUUUCUGUCUGUCGGAGAUCAACACCCAUCAUUUCUGCAGCUGUCCGUCUAUCCAGAAGAUCCAAACCAAUCCUGUUGGCACUGCUCUCUGUCAUCAGAAGAUCCAAGCCCAUCCUUUCCAUGAUGCUGUGGUUCUGCAGAAGGUCCAAGCCCACUGCCUGGGCCCUGUUUGGUUUCAGCAAGGGGUUGAGACGCUUGUUGGUGGUUGCUGUGGAUGUUCAGAACCCAUGCGGGCAACUGUUGCUGCACUCAGCCAAAUCGCUCGGUCAAAGAUUUUAGCAGAAAUUCUGGGACAAUACUUUGAGACACCUCAGCUGUCAACAAGUGAGGCUUUGACUCAGUGUUACCAAUCAGUGCAGAUGGUCACUGUGGCUCUCAGUCAGUGCUCUUCCUCAGCACUGUCUGCCAUUUUGGCUCUUUGUAGAUGUGCCAUUCCAAUGAUCUGUGCCAUUAUGUCUCUCUGUAGGAGCUAUGGGCCUAUUGUAUCAGUUGUGGUUGCUUUGAGCCAGUGUUUAAUAGAAGUGUUCUCUACAAUUUUGGAACUCUACAAAUCUUGUUUGUGAGACUCAACCAUUCUUGGAGUUGCUCAAGGCUGAAUAUUUCUGUAACACUCCGUGCAACUUGAAUUUUAUGUACAUUUUUAUCUUGUUACAAUUUUAUAGCUUUUAUUUUUCAUCUGUUUUUUAACCAUUUCAGUAUAAUAAAGGUAUUAUGUGCUUUUUCAA
Long non-coding RNA from Anguilla rostrata (American eel), 1354 nucleotides. RefSeq lists it as uncharacterized. The transcript has 2 exons. The record is from RefSeq and is a predicted model, not a curated record. NCBI's taxonomy places the organism in Eukaryota, Metazoa, Chordata, Actinopteri, Anguilliformes, Anguillidae.